UGAGUCCUAAUUUUGUCCAAUCUGUCAGAACACCGUCGAAUUCCUCGUAGUCACCACACCUUUGUGAUUCCUGAACCUGGAGGGGCGCAAAACCAAAAUUGAGUGGGUCAGUAAAACAAUUCUUUUUCCAAAUCCAAACAUUUCUCAAAACGUUGUAACCCCUCUCCGUAAAACCUGUAUACUUUCCCAGAAAUGUAAAAUAUAAAUAUACAUAUAUAUUCUCAAGACUUCAAGUCGUUAACUCAACAUUUUCAUAACAAUUAUGCCAUGCCACAUCAUCUCAACAGUAAUAAGGUAUGAAUGCAUCAACAUAAUCAUAUCAGGUGCAAGAAAGUAAUCAACCGUAGGCCCUCUAAUAGCCCUGUACGGUUGAACCUAGAGCUCAAAAUCUAUCAUUAUCACUCUACCGGAGUCACCUCUGUGACCCGUCCGGCCUUCUGCACACAAGUUACGCUCUAGUGCUUCUCAUAAAUCAUCUGUGCACAUAAUCUAAGGUCACCCACCAGUCGGAAUCUCACUAACACUCUCGCGACUGGUCUGUCGUACCCACUCCGCGUGGACUGUACGACUAGCAUCUACUUGGAUCCAAGGCGAGCGUGCGAUGUGGUGAAUACUAUAAGCACUAAACCAUGGUGCAGGAUUUGAGCUCAAUAUAUAUCAUCAUCAUCAUAACAGUAAUUAAAUACUCAUCUGUGCGUCCACCGCACCAUUUCAUACAUAUGCAUCAUAAAUCAAUUCUUACCUGUGCGUCCACCGCACCAAUUCAUACAUAUGCAUCAUAAAUCAAUUCUUACCUGUGCGUCCACCGCACCAAUUCAUACAUAUGCAUCAUAAAUCAAUUCUUACAUGUGCGUCCACCGCACCAAUUCAUACAUAUGCAUCAUAUAUUAAUUCAUGCAUGGCAUUUCAACUCACAUUUCUAUAUACUUUUCAUAUCAAUUCUAUGCAUGGUAUUUCACUUCCCGUUUUUCCACAUAACUCAUAUGCAUUUCAUUUUAAACAUAUUUUCAUUUCAAUUCAAUUUCUGGGAAACGUCAAGUAUAUAUAUAUACGGAAAACAAAACUGCCCACUCACCUGGAGUUCGUCCAACAACUCCCUAGCACCACACAUCAAGGCGUCAUGACGAUCGCCGCCUAGAAUAGUAAUAGUAAUCAAAUCCAGGCUCAGAAUUCAUAUCGAUAGAAUACAUAACUUAUAUAAAAUACGUCACUACGUUGAUCGAUCCGGAAGAUCUGCCACUCAGAUUUUAAAUCCAUAACUUCCAGAGGUCCACAUUAUACCUCUAGGACAACAUCCUAAAAUUUCAUUACCAUCCAACGGUCGGAUCUCCGUCAAUUUCCAAAACUAAGUGACGGUUAACAUUUUAUAUUAUGGACUUACAAUUCCAAUUCCGGAAGAUCCGUAACUCGGAUUCCCAAUCCGUAAGUUCCAAUAAUCCUCAAAUAUUACGUAUUACAACGUAUCAAAUUUUGGUGACGAUCCAACGGUCGGAUCAUCAAUUCACAUUUUCACCUAAAUGUGAAAACUAUAAAACGUUAUUUGAACACCUAACCAACAAUCCUCAAUAACUUUCUCAUACGGUGUUCAAUUUAGGUAUAUGAAUAUACCACAGUGAUCUACUCGACGUCACGGACGUCGACAUAUUUUUAAAAUAAUUUUAUUUUUAUUUUUUAUUUUUACUGUAGCACCUUCUUCUUCCUUGGGUCGCCGGACUGGUUUUUCCGGCGGCCGUUUUCCGGGCAGUUUUUCAAAUUGCCAUAACUUUGUCAUUUCUCAACGAAAUCAAGUGAUUCAAAAACGAAAGUUGUAGCCCUUGAAGAGAAAAAGAGAAUGGUACCUUGCACAACACCUAGUUCGCCGUGGUUUGGCCGGAAACUUCCUCGAAAGCCUCGGAGGUCGCCGGAAACUGGGUAUUUUUCAAAUGAGUAUAACUUCUUCAAUACUCAACGAAAUUGAGUGAAACAAAAAGGAAAGUUGUAGUACUUGACGAGACGAAGAGAUUGAUACCUACCUCGACUCCUAACUCGCCGGGUAUUCGCCGGAAAACGCCUCGAAAGCUCCGGCCAAACUUUGAACUUGUCGAUCUCCGUGUUCUUACGUCCAAAAACUUCCAACGAAGCACUCCGAGCUUCCUUGGGACCUUACUAAACUCGCUGUGAUCUUGUUUUAGCCUAAAACGUAACCAAUUCAAAGCUCAUGAACAGUGUCAUCUCACGGCAACUUUAGAACUAGGGUUUUCGAAGUGAAACUCACCUGAAAUUGGUAUCCCCGUGCUCGUGAAGUCCCCAGGAUCACGAUGGUGGUCUUAAAUGGAACGUUGGUACAAGAUUGUGGUGGUUCUUGGUGGUUGCCGUGAGUUCGAGAGUAAGAGAGAGAAUGAGAGAGUUUCAGAAAAGAAUAAGAGAGA
Molecule: long non-coding RNA, 2408 nt
Filed under: Malus domestica (apple)
Lineage: Eukaryota; Viridiplantae; Streptophyta; Magnoliopsida; Rosales; Rosaceae
Description: long non-coding RNA (MDOM_LNC011507)
Source: RNAcentral